CUACGGGUCGCUGCAGUAAGGAAUAUUGCGCAAUGGAGGCAACUCUGACGCAGCCAUGCCGCGUGCAGGACUGAAGGCCUUAUGGGUCGUAAACUGCUUUUAUUUAGGAAUAAACUCUUGUACGUGUACGAGACUGAAGGUACUAAAUGAAUAAGCACCGGCUAACUCCGUGCCAGCAGGCCGCGGUAAUACGGAGGGUGCAAGCGUUAUCCGGAUUUAUUGGGUUUAAAGGGUGCGCAGGCGGACUAUUAAGUCAGAGGUGAAAUCCCGGAGCUCAACUUCGGAACUGCCUUUGAUACUGGUAGUCUUGAAUACGGUUGAAGUAGGCGGAAUGUAGCAUGUAGCGGUGAAAUGCAUAGAGAUGCUACAGAACACCGAUCGCGAAGGCAGCUUACGAAGCCGAUAUUGACGCUCAGGCACGAAAGCGUGGGGAGCGAACAGGAUUAGAUACCCUCGUAGUC
RNAcentral lists this ribosomal RNA (461 nucleotides) under uncultured bacterium. RNAcentral's name for it is "partial 16S ribosomal RNA". It matches the Rfam family "Bacterial small subunit ribosomal RNA", at positions 339 to 795 of the family's 1533-position model. The record is from RNAcentral.